GAGAUAGAGCUUCCCCUUCGGGGGCAAAGUGACAGGUGGUGCAUGGUUGUCGUCAGCUCGUGUCGUGAGAUGUUGGGUUAAGUCCCGCAACGAGCGCAACCCUUAUUGUUAGUUGCCAUCAUUUAGUUGGGCACUCUAGCGAGACUGCCGGUGACAAACCGGAGGAAGGUGGGGAUGACGUCAAAUCAUCAUGCCCCUUAUGACCUGGGCUACACACGUGCUACAAUGGGAAGUACAACGAGUUGCGAAGUCGCGAGGCUAAGCUAAUCUCUUAAAGCUUCUCUCAGUUCGGAUUGUAGGCUGCAACUCGCCUACAUGAAGCCGGAAUCGCUAGUAAUCGCGGAUCAGCACGCCGCGGUGAAUACGUUCCCGGGCCUUGUACACACCGCCCGUCACACCACGAGAGUUUGUAACACCCGAAGUCGGUGAGGUAACCUUUUUGGAGCCAGCCGCCUAAGGUGGGAUAGAUGAUUGGGGUGAAGUCGUAACAAGGUAGCCGUAUCGGAAGGUGCGGCUGGAUCACCUCCUUUCU
This 532-nucleotide ribosomal RNA is filed under the name Listeria monocytogenes. Its description in RNAcentral is "bacterial SSU rRNA". It matches the Rfam family "Bacterial small subunit ribosomal RNA", at positions 1003 to 1533 of the family's 1533-position model. The record is from RNAcentral. Lineage: Bacteria; Bacillati; Bacillota; Bacilli; Caryophanales; Listeriaceae.